RNAcentral lists this ribosomal RNA (1392 nucleotides) under Salmonella enterica subsp. enterica serovar Typhimurium. RNAcentral's name for it is "partial 23S ribosomal RNA". It matches the Rfam family "Bacterial large subunit ribosomal RNA", at positions 1560 to 2925 of the family's 2925-position model. The record is from RNAcentral. Lineage: Bacteria; Pseudomonadati; Pseudomonadota; Gammaproteobacteria; Enterobacterales; Enterobacteriaceae.
GGCGUGAUGACGAGGCACUACGGUGCUGAAGCAACAAAUGCCCUGCUUCCAGGAAAAGCCUCUAAGCAUCAGGUAACAUCAAAUCGUACCCCAAACCGACACAGGUGGUCAGGUAGAGAAUACCAAGGCGCUUGAGAGAACUCGGGUGAAGGAACUAGGCAAAAUGGUGCCGUAACUUCGGGAGAAGGCACGCUGACACGUAGGUGAAGUGAUUUACUCACGGAGCUGAAGUCAGUCGAAGAUACCAGCUGGCUGCAACUGUUUAUUAAAAACACAGCACUGUGCAAACACGAAAGUGGACGUAUACGGUGUGACGCCUGCCCGGUGCCGGAAGGUUAAUUGAUGGGGUCAGCGCAAGCGAAGCUCCUGAUCGAAGCCCCGGUAAACGGCGGCCGUAACUAUAACGGUCCUAAGGUAGCGAAAUUCCUUGUCGGGUAAGUUCCGACCUGCACGAAUGGCGUAAUGAUGGCCAGGCUGUCUCCACCCGAGACUCAGUGAAAUUGAACUCGCUGUGAAGAUGCAGUGUACCCGCGGCAAGACGGAAAGACCCCGUGAACCUUUACUAUAGCUUGACACUGAACAUUGAGCCUUGAUGUGUAGGAUAGGUGGGAGGCUUUGAAGUGUGGACGCCAGUCUGCAUGGAGCCGACCUUGAAAUACCACCCUUUAAUGUUUGAUGUUCUAACGUGGACCCGUAAUCCGGGUUGCGGACAGUGUCUGGUGGGUAGUUUGACUGGGGCGGUCUCCUCCUAAAGAGUAACGGAGGAGCACGAAGGUUGGCUAAUCCUGGUCGGACAUCAGGAGGUUAGUGCAAUGGCAUAAGCCAGCUUGACUGCGAGCGUGACGGCGCGAGCAGGUGCGAAAGCAGGUCAUAGUGAUCCGGUGGUUCUGAAUGGAAGGGCCAUCGCUCAACGGAUAAAAGGUACUCCGGGGAUAACAGGCUGAUACCGCCCAAGAGUUCAUAUCGACGGCGGUGUUUGGCACCUCGAUGUCGGCUCAUCACAUCCUGGGGCUGAAGUAGGUCCCAAGGGUAUGGCUGUUCGCCAUUUAAAGUGGUACGCGAGCUGGGUUUAGAACGUCGUGAGACAGUUCGGUCCCUAUCUGCCGUGGGCGCUGGAGAACUGAGGGGGGCUGCUCCUAGUACGAGAGGACCGGAGUGGACGCAUCACUGGUGUUCGGGUUGUCAUGCCAAUGGCACUGCCCGGUAGCUAAAUGCGGAAGAGAUAAGUGCUGAAAGCAUCUAAGCACGAAACUUGCCCCGAGAUGAGUUCUCCCUGAGACUUAGAGUCUCCUGAAGGAACGUUGAAGACGACGACGUUGAUAGGCCGGGUGUGUAAGCGCAGCGAUGCGUUGAGCUAACCGGUACUAAUGAACCGUGAGGCUUAACCUUACA